CAGUCGCCACGGUAAUACGAAGGGUGCAAGCGUUACUCGGAAUUACUGGGCGUAAAGCGUGCGUAGGUGGUGGUUUAAGUCCGUUGUGAAAGCCCUGGGCUCAACCUGGGAAUUGCAGUGGGUACUGGGUCACUAGAGUGUGGUAGAGGAUAGUGGAAUUUCCGGUGUAGCAGUGAAAUGCGUAGAGAUCGGAAGGAACAUCUGUGGCGAAGGCGACUAUCUGGGCCAACACUGACACUGAGGCACGAAAGCGUGGGGAGCAAACAGGAUUAGAUACCCCUGUAGUCCCUGUCUCUUAUAC
This 301-nucleotide ribosomal RNA is filed under the name uncultured bacterium. Its description in RNAcentral is "partial 16S ribosomal RNA". It matches the Rfam family "Bacterial small subunit ribosomal RNA", at positions 509 to 807 of the family's 1533-position model. The record is from RNAcentral.